RNAcentral lists this long non-coding RNA (992 nucleotides) under Sus scrofa (pig). RNAcentral describes it as "lncRNA (ENSSSCG00070002076.1)". The record is from RNAcentral. Lineage: Eukaryota; Metazoa; Chordata; Mammalia; Artiodactyla; Suidae.
GGGGGGGGGUACUUUUUAUUUGUUUGAUUUCUGAUUACAUUCAUCUUACGUAUUUACUCUGAAGUGGAAGUUUUAACUUUAUUUUAAUUUUCUGUAUUGGUUUUCCUUGAUACUUUCAUGAGUUUUCCAUUAUAUUUUCCAGAUCAAGUCCAGAAAGAAAUGGCUAGGAUGAUGGCUCUGUUCAAGGAUGAUUGGAGGAGAGAACAGUUCCAGAAUGAUGAUCUUCAAAAGAAAGUCGAUCAAGUCCAGAAAGAAAUGGGUAAAUCUUUUUGACAUUUUUUAACAGAUGUAUUUCUUUAAAACAUCUUUUCCCACCAUUUCUCAACAUUCCCUCCUCCCUGCUCCUGUCCGCCCUUUAGCUUCUUGUGGGUUCCACGUUACCCUAUCUUCUCUUUGACGUCCUGAGGUCCUCCCACAUCACGUUCCCUUCUCACCAUCUCUCUGGCUGUUAUUCCUUCCAGUCUCUUCCUUGCUAUACACCCAGGUGGUGUUCUACCUCCCUGGUGAUUACCCUAAUUUCAUGAUAAGGUUGGUGAGAUGAAGGCGAUUCGCUUAAGGUGAGUGUGGUCAUUGCCAUUCGAGAGAAGGCUUCCUUUCCCUUGGGUUCUCCAAGUGCUCUGAGGUGGAGUGCCUCUUGCUUUACAGAUGAUCGUGUUCUGGCUUUUAGGGGAAGCAUUCAGACUCCAAAGCUGUUGCAUGAGAUGAGUUCCUUCUUUGUUGACUGUGUAAACACUGUCUGUAUACACUGAUGUCAAGUGUGCUCUUGAAACGAGCCAGUCCGCUUUGCUUGACCCUAUUCCCAAGGGAUAUUGGUAAUAGUUUUGCAUGACAAUGUGGGAUUUUUCCUUUUAAACAACAAUGAUUACUCUCCUUUCUUUUAUAUUUUAAUUCAUUUAAUAAUUACUCCAACACAUUUCUCUUCCUUCAGGGUCUUACACAUACACUUUUCCGUCAAUCAAAUAAACGUGACUGACAAUAUAUUUCCGGCGUCA